Acanthosepion pharaonis is the source of this 111-nucleotide non-coding RNA. The record is from the annotation of a GenBank genome assembly. NCBI's taxonomy places the organism in Eukaryota, Metazoa, Mollusca, Cephalopoda, Sepiida, Sepiidae.
CAGCCACAUCAUGUUCAAACACCAGUUCCUGUACAGUGACUGAAGUUAAGCAACGCUGAGCCUGUGCAGUACCUAGAUGGGUAACCACCUGGGAAUACCAGGGACUGUAAG